CAUGCAAGUCGAACGAGGAUAUAUCCUUCGGGAUAUAAGCCGAGUGGCGCAAGGGUGAGUAAUGCAUAGAUUACCUGCCUCUAGGAUAAGGACAACUUUGUGAAAACGAAGCUAAUACUUAAUAAUACAAGUGGAAAUAAUUUCCAUUUGUCAAUGGGAGGGUAGCAAUACCUUUUGCCUGGAGAGGGGUUUAUGUCCUAUCAGCUUGUUGGUGGGGUAAUGGCCUACCAAGGCGAAGACGGGUAGCCGGUCUUAGAGGAUGGUCGGCCACACUGGGACUGAGACACUGCCCAGACUUCUACGGAAGGCUGCAGUCGAGAAUCUUUCGCAAUGCCCGAAAGGGUGACGAAGCGACGCCGCGUGAGUGAGGAAGGCCUUCGGGUUGUAAAGCUCUGUCAGGAGUUAAGAAAUGUAAGUGUGCUAAUACCACAUUUAUUUGACGAAGGCUCCAAAGGAAGCCACGGCUAACUCUGUGCCAGCAGCCGCGGUAAUACAGAGGUGGCAAGCGUUGUUCGGAAUUAUUGGGCGUAAAGAGCACGUAGGUGGGUUUGUAAGUCAGAUGUGAAAGCCUUCUGUUCAACGGAAGAAUUGCAUCUGAAACUGCGAGUCUUGAGUGUAGGAGGGGAGAAUGGAACUUCUGGUGGAGCGGUGAAAUGCGUAGAUAUCAGAAGGAACGCCGGCGGCGAAAGCGAUUCUCUGGCCUAUUACUGACGCUCAGUGUGCGAAAGCUAGGGGAGCAAACGGGAUUAGAUACCCCGGUAGUCCUAGCCGUAAACGAUGGGCACUAAGUAGAGGGAAUUACCGAUGUUCUCUCUGCCGUAGCUAACGCAUUAAGUGCCCCGCCUGGGGAGUACGGCCGCAAGGCUAAAACUCAAAAGAAUUGACGGGGGCUCGCACAAGCGGUGGAGCAUGUGGCUUAAUUCGAUGCAACGCGAAGAACCUUACCGGGGCUUGACAUGGUAGAAGUAGGAACCCGAAAGGGUAACGAACGGUAUCCAGUCCGUAACUAUCACAGGUGUUGCAUGGCUGUCGUCAGCUCGUGUCGUGAGACGUUGGGUUAAGUCCCCUAACGAGCGAAACCCUUGUUUUUAGUUACCAGCGGGUUGUGCCGGGUACUCUAGAAAGACUGCCGUCGUCAAGACGGAGGAAGGUGGGGAUGACGUCAAGUCAUCAUGGCCCUUAUGCCCCGGGCUGCACACGUGCUACAAUGGUCGGUACAAACGGAAGCGAAGCCGAGAGGUGAAGCGAAUCCUAAAAAGCCGAUCUCAGUUCGGAUUGGAGGCUGAAAUUCGCCUCCAUGAAGUUGGAAUCGCUAGUAAUCGCGGAUCAGCAUUGUCGCGGUGAAUAUGUUCCCGAGCCUUGUACACACCGCCCGUCAAGCCACCCAAGCAGGAUGCACCCGAAAACAUUAUAUCUAACCAGGUUUACCUGGAGGAAAAUGUUGAAGGAGUGUUUUGUGAGAAGGACUAAGUCGUAACAAGGUAGUCGUAGGAGAACCUGCGGCUGGAUCACCUCCUUUCU
RNAcentral lists this ribosomal RNA (1521 nucleotides) under uncultured Planctomycetales bacterium. Its description in RNAcentral is "16S ribosomal RNA". It matches the Rfam family "Bacterial small subunit ribosomal RNA". Lineage: Bacteria; Pseudomonadati; Planctomycetota; Planctomycetia; Planctomycetales. The record is from RNAcentral.